UUAAGCGACUAAGCGUACACGGUGGAUGCCCUGGCAGUCAGAGGCGAUGAAGGACGUGCUAAUCUGCGAAAAGCGUCGGUAAGGUGAUAUGAACCGUUACAGCCGGCGAUGUCCGAAUGGGGAAACCCAGUGCAAUUCGUUGCACUAUCGUUAACUGAAUACAUAGGUUAACGAGGCGAACCGGGGGAACUGAAACAUCUAAGUACCCCGAGGAAAAGAAAUCAACCGAGAUUCCCCCAGUAGCGGCGAGCGAACGGGGAGCAGCCCAGAGUCUGAAUCAGCUUGUGUGUUAGUGGAACGGUCUGGAAAGUCCGACGGUACAGGGUGAUAGUCCCGUACACCAAAAUGCACAGGCUGUGAACUCGAAGAGUAGGGCGGGACACGUGGUAUCCUGUCUGAAUAUGGGGGACCAUCCUCCAAGGCUAAAUACUCCUGACUGACCGAUAGUGAACCAGUACCGUGAGGGAAAGGCGAAAAGAACCCCGGCGAGGGGAGUGAAAAAGAACCUGAAACCGUGUACGUACAAGCAGUGGGAGCACCUUCGGGUGUGACUGCGUACCUUUUGUAUAAUGGGUCAGCGACUUAUAUUCUGUAGCAAGGUUAACCGUAUAGGGGAGCCGCAGGGAAACCGAGUCUUAACUGGGCGUUAAGUUGCAGGGUAUAGACCCGAAACCCGGUGAUCUAGCCAUGGGCAGGUUGAAGGUUGGGUAACACUAACUGGAGGACCGAACCGACUAAUGUUGAAAAAUUAGCGGAUGACUUGUGGCUGGGGGUGAAAGGCCAAUCAAACCGGGAGAUAGCUGGUUCUCCCCGAAAGCUAUUUAGGUAGCGCCUCGUGAAUUCAUCUUCGGGGGUAGAGCACUGUUUCGGCUAGGGGGUCAUCCCGACUUACCAACCCGAUGCAAACUACGAAUACCGAAGAAUGUUAUCACGGGAGACACACGGCGGGUGCUAACGUCCGUCGUGAAGAGGGAAACAACCCAGACCGCCAGCUAAGGUCCCAAAGUCAUGGUUAAGUGGGAAACGAUGUGGGAAGGCACAGACAGCCAGGAUGUUGGCUUAGAAGCAGCCAUCAUUUAAAGAAAGCGUAAUAGCUCACUGGUCGAGUCGGCCUGCGCGGAAGAUGUAACGGGGCUAAACCAUGCACCGAAGCUGCGGCAGCGACACUAUGUGUUGUUGGGUAGGGGAGCGUUCUGUAAGCCUGCGAAGGUGACCUGUGAGGGUUGCUGGAGGUAUCAGAAGUGCGAAUGCUGACAUAAGUAACGAUAAAGCGGGUGAAAAGCCCGCUCGCCGGAAGACCAAGGGUUCCUGUCCAACGUUAAUCGGGGCAGGGUGAGUCGACCCCUAAGGCGAGGCCGAAAGGCGUAGUCGAUGGGAAACAGGUUAAUAUUCCUGUACUUGGUGUUACUGCGAAGGGGGGACGGAGAAGGCUAUGUUAGCCGGGCGACGGUUGUCCCGGUUUAAGCAUGUAGGCUGGUUGUCCAGGCAAAUCCGGAUAAUCAAGGCUGAGGUGUGAUGACGAGGCACUACGGUGCUGAAGUAACAAAUGCCCUGCUUCCAGGAAAAGCCUCUAAGCAUCAGGUAACAUUAAAUCGUACCCCAAACCGACACAGGUGGUCAGGUAGAGAAUACCAAGGCGCUUGAGAGAACUCGGGUGAAGGAACUAGGCAAAAUGGUGCCGUAACUUCGGGAGAAGGCACGCUGGUGUGUAGGUGAAGUCCCUGCGGAUGGAGCUGAGACCAGUCGAAGAUACCAGCUGGCUGCAACUGUUUAUUAAAAACACAGCACUGUGCAAACACGAAAGUGGACGUAUACGGUGUGACGCCUGCCCGGUGCCGGAAGGUUAAUUGAUGGGGUUAUCCGUAAGGAGAAGCUCUUGAUCGAAGCCCCGGUAAACGGCGGCCGUAACUAUAACGGUCCUAAGGUAGCGAAAUUCCUUGUCGGGUAAGUUCCGACCUGCACGAAUGGCGUAAUGAUGGCCAGGCUGUCUCCACCCGAGACUCAGUGAAAUUGAACUCGCUGUGAAGAUGCAGUGUACCCGCGGCAAGACGGAAAGACCCCGUGAACCUUUACUAUAGCUUGACACUGAACAUUGAGCCUUGAUGUGUAGGAUAGGUGGGAGGCUUUGAAGCGUGGACGCCAGUCUGCGUGGAGCCAACCUUGAAAUACCACCCUUUAAUGUUUGAUGUUCUAACGUUGGCCCCUGACCGGGGUUGCGGACAGUGUCUGGUGGGUAGUUUGACUGGGGCGGUCUCCUCCCAAAGCGUAACGGAGGAGCACGAAGGUUAGCUAAUCCUGGUCGGACAUCAGGAGGUUAGUGCAAUGGCAUAAGCUAGCUUGACUGCGAGCGUGACGGCGCGAGCAGGUGCGAAAGCAGGUCAUAGUGAUCCGGUGGUUCUGAAUGGAAGGGCCAUCGCUCAACGGAUAAAAGGUACUCCGGGGAUAACAGGCUGAUACCGCCCAAGAGUUCAUAUCGACGGCGGUGUUUGGCACCUCGAUGUCGGCUCAUCACAUCCUGGGGCUGAAGUAGGUCCCAAGGGUAUGGCUGUUCGCCAUUUAAAGUGGUACGCGAGCUGGGUUUAGAACGUCGUGAGACAGUUCGGUCCCUAUCUGCCGUGGGCGCUGGAGAAUUGAGGGGGGCUGCUCCUAGUACGAGAGGACCGGAGUGGACGCAUCACUGGUGUUCGGGUUGUCAUGCCAAUGGCACUGCCCGGUAGCUAAAUGCGGAAGAGAUAAGUGCUGAAAGCAUCUAAGCACGAAACUUGCCCCGAGAUGAGUUCUCCCUGAGACUUUAAGUCUCCUGAAGGAACGUUAAAGACGAUGACGUUGAUAGGCCGGGUGUGUAAGCGCAGCGAUGCGUUGAGCUAACCGGUACUAAUGAACCGUGAGGCUUAACCUU
RNAcentral lists this ribosomal RNA (2899 nucleotides) under Klebsiella pneumoniae. RNAcentral describes it as "bacterial LSU rRNA". It matches the Rfam family "Bacterial large subunit ribosomal RNA". The record is from RNAcentral. Lineage: Bacteria; Pseudomonadati; Pseudomonadota; Gammaproteobacteria; Enterobacterales; Enterobacteriaceae.